RNAcentral lists this long non-coding RNA (1682 nucleotides) under Phasianus colchicus (ring-necked pheasant). Its description in RNAcentral is "lncRNA (ENSPCLG00000005779.1)". Lineage: Eukaryota; Metazoa; Chordata; Aves; Galliformes; Phasianidae. The record is from RNAcentral.
CUUCCCACUUACCUCUCUACCACUUUCUGUUUUAAGUGUUCAAUUUCACAGUGUCUUUAAAACAUUAGUAGAUGAUGCAGGCAAUGUAAGGGAGGUGGGAAAAAGAUAAGCUUUUAAAGUACAGAACCAAACCUGGUAUUUUGUGCCUGCAGGACCUCACCACUGCUCACUGCAUGAUGCAGAGUGCAGGUACAGAGAGUGCCCACCUCAGCAUGCCUUAAUCUGGAGAAAAAAUGACAAUUCAAAAGAAUACUAUUUUGCUUCACAGAAAAUUUGCCAAUUCCAGAUAUGGAACAAAGUCAUGGAGUGGUACAUGCACAGUGCAAUUUGACUUAGUUUCUGACGAGAAGUAAAAUAAGGAUAAAAGCUACGAGAAAGAAACAUCUGCCAUUUGCAAAACCAAGCAUCUCAGCGGAAAUGAGGGCGAAUCGCGCUCUCCUGGGUGAGCACAGCUCAGACCCUUUCACUGUGCUAUUUCCUGAAAUACUGCUUUCCACAGCACUCUGCACCCAGCCUACGAAAGUGGAAGUAAUCUGAGCUGCACAGUUGACUUAAGCUCUGAUAAAACACUCUGCUGUGUUACUGUCAGCAUGCCAGUAAAUGUCAUUGCUUUUUUCUGGAAUAUACCAUAUUAUAAAACUGUCUGGGGUAGAACUUGAAUCUCCUCACUGGGCUAAGCAGCAGAUGAAGUCCUCCCACCCCUCCUGCAUACCCAUGGCACAGCAGCACUCAGUCCCAACUCAUGUCCACAAGCUCCAAUGGAAAAAUGAGGAUCCAUCAGCCUGUGUGCAGCACUGUGCCUGAUAUGAGAGCUGGGGGGUCAGUGGCCACAGGAGUCUAAGGCCAGAGGAGGAGAAGAAUGUGUGUCCUUCUGCAGCCAGGCCACUUGGACCAAGGCAUCUGAGGAGAUCUCAAGAGUCACAGAGUCUUUUCUAUCUGAAUAAAGCCAUGAAGACAGCUCUCCCUGCUGAGCAACACUGCAGGAGGGAUUUCCUAUGCUGCCCAAGGGGCACCAUGCUGUAUUACUGCAAGGGACAUCACCUUUCGCAGCUGGCUCCUGAGCAGCUGCAUAAUGACAAAAAAGAGAGAGGAAAAUGGCACACAUCAAAGAAGAGGAAAAACAUCUUAGAACACAAAUGUAAACAAGAAGAAAAUGUCAGAUGCUGCCUUGAGAGUAUUUUUCUCCCACAGGUGUAUCGGAAGGCAGAAUCCCCAUUAGCUGUACCAAAGAAGAAAAGGGAGAUGUCUGAUUGACCUGACUGAUCUGCGUGUUAUGGCUGCAUAGCAAACAGACUCCAUCAGCACGUAAUUGCCUUCAUUGUGGAAGAGCCCUUGACUCAGCUGAGGCUGGUACUCACUGUGCCGGGUACAGACGUCUAUUAAGAGACAGUCCUUGUCCCGGUGAGUCAUCUAAGUGGAUGGAACACAUUCAAAAAGGCAAGGAACAAGCAGAUCCCUUGGCACCAGGGCUAGGCAGACCUGAUUUCCCAAGGAUAUUUUUUCUGAAGUGACUGUUUUUGUACACUAGAAGGUAAAAAUUUGGAGAUUUUAUCUGUGAUUGAGAUAUAUAAAAUAACUUUUUCUCUCAAAACCUCUGCUGUCUAAUAGUGCAUGAGGUUCCACUUAGGCUCCUUUCCUGCUACCCUCCUCCAGGGAAUUGCCUCUAGAGUGUUUAUAAGAAU